RNAcentral lists this ribosomal RNA (550 nucleotides) under uncultured diatom. RNAcentral describes it as "bacterial SSU rRNA". It matches the Rfam family "Bacterial small subunit ribosomal RNA", at positions 346 to 909 of the family's 1533-position model. The record is from RNAcentral. Lineage: Eukaryota; Bacillariophyta.
AGGCAGCAGUGGGGAAUUUCCGCAAUGGGCGAAAGCCUGACGGAGCAAUACCGCGUGAGGGAAGACUGCCUAUGGGUUGUAAACCUCUUUUUUCAGGGAGGAAUAAAUGACGUGUACCUGAAGAAUAAGCAUCGGCUAACUCCGUGCCAGCAGCCGCGGUAAGACGGAGGAUGCAAGUGUUAUCCGGAAUCACUGGGCGUAAAGCGUCUGUAGGUGGUUGUUUAAGUCAACUGUUAAAUCUUGAGGCUCAACCUCAAAAUCGCAGUCGAAACUAUUCAACUAGAGUAUAGUAGGGGUAAAGGGAAUUUCCAGUGGAGCGGUGAAAUGCGUAGAUAUUGGAAAGAACACCGAUGGCGAAGGCACUUUACUGGGCUAUUACUAACACUCAGAGACGAAAGCUAGGGUAGCAAAUGGGAUUAGAUACCCCAGUAGUCCUAGCUGUAAACAAUGGAUACUAGAUGUUGAACAGAUCGUACCUGUGCAGUAUCAAAGCUAACGCGUUAAGUAUCCCGCCUGGGAAGUAUGCUCGCAAGAGUKAAACUCAAAUGAA